Molecule: ribosomal RNA, 659 nt
Filed under: Pseudomonas sp. 2588-5
Lineage: Bacteria; Pseudomonadati; Pseudomonadota; Gammaproteobacteria; Pseudomonadales; Pseudomonadaceae
Description: bacterial LSU rRNA
Rfam family: Bacterial large subunit ribosomal RNA
Source: RNAcentral
GUAGCGAAAUUCCUUGUCGGGUAAGUUCCGACCCGCACGAAAGGUGCAACGAUUUGGGCACUGUCUCAACGAGAGACCCGGUGAAAUUAUAUUACCUGUGAAGAUGCAGGUUACCCGCGACAGGACGGAAAGACCCGAUGGAGCUUUACUGUAGCUUGAUAUUGGAUUUUGGUACAGCUUGUACAGGAUAGGUAGGAGCCUUGGAAGCCGGAGCGCCAGCUUCGGUGGAGGCAUUGGUGGGAUACUACCCUGGCUGUACUGGAAUUCUAACCUCGAACCGUGAUCCGGUUCAGGGACAGUGUCAGGUGGGCAGUUUGACUGGGGCGGUCGCCUCCUAAAAGGUAACGGAGGCGCCCAAAGGUUCCCUCAGAAUGGUUGGAAAUCAUUCGUAGAGUGCAAAGGCAUAAGGGAGCUUGACUGCGAGACCUACAAGUCGAGCAGGGACGAAAGUCGGGCUUAGUGAUCCGGCGGCACCGUAUGGAAGGGCCGUCGCUCAACGGAUAAAAGCUACCCUGGGGAUAACAGGCUAAUCUCCCCCAAGAGUCCACAUCGACGGGGAGGUUUGGCACCUCGAUGUCGGCUCGUCGCAUCCUGGGGCUGAAGUAGGUCCCAAGGGUUGGGCUGUUCGCCCAUUAAAGCGGCACGCGAGCUGGGUCCAG